CUUGAAGGAGUGCUUGCACUCCUGAUGGUUAGCGGCGGACGGGUGAGUAACACGUAGGUAACCUGCCCAUAAGACUGGGAUAACCCACGGAAACGUGAGCUAAUACCAGAUAGGCAUUUUCCUCGCAUGAGGGAGAUGAGAAAGGCGGAGCAAUCUGCCACUUAUGGAUGGACCUGCGGCGCAUUAGCUAGUUGGUAAGGUAACGGCUUACCAAGGCGACGAUGCGUAGCCGACCUGAGAGGGUGAUCGGCCACACUGGGACUGAGACACGGCCCAGACUCCUACGGGAGGCAGCAGUAGGGAAUCUUCCGCAAUGGACGAAAGUCUGACGGAGCAACGCCGCGUGAGUGAUGAAGGUUUUCGGAUCGUAAAGCUCUGUUGCCAGGGAAGAACGCCUAGGAGAGUAACUGCUCCUAGGGUGACGGUACCUGAGAAGAAAGCCCCGGCUAACUACGUGCCAGCA
This 463-nucleotide ribosomal RNA is filed under the name Paenibacillus alvei. RNAcentral describes it as "bacterial SSU rRNA". It matches the Rfam family "Bacterial small subunit ribosomal RNA", at positions 67 to 513 of the family's 1533-position model. Lineage: Bacteria; Bacillati; Bacillota; Bacilli; Caryophanales; Paenibacillaceae. The record is from RNAcentral.